RNAcentral lists this ribosomal RNA (1341 nucleotides) under uncultured bacterium. RNAcentral describes it as "bacterial SSU rRNA". It matches the Rfam family "Bacterial small subunit ribosomal RNA", at positions 28 to 1381 of the family's 1533-position model. The record is from RNAcentral.
GAUAAACGCUGGCGGUGUACAUAAGACAUGCAAGUCGAACGGGAGAAACUAAGAUGGAUUUAUUCAACUUAGCAGACACCGUGGCGGAUGGGUGAGUAACACGUAAGCAACCUGCCUAAAAGAGGGGAAUAACAGAGAGAAAUUUCUGAUAAUACCGCAUAUACCAAAGUAUCGCAUGGUACAAUUGGGAAAGAUUUAUCACUUUUAGAUGGGCUUGCGUCUGAUUAGCUAGUUGGUGAGAUAACAGCUCACCAAGGCGACGAUCAGUAGCCGGAUUGAGAGGUUGAACGGCCACAUUGGGACUGAGACACGGCCCAGACUCCUACGGGAGGCAGCAGUCGGGAAUAUUGCACAAUGGAGGAAACUCUGAUGCAGUGACACCGCGUAUAGGAAGAAGGCCUUAGGGUUGUAAGCUAUUGUCGUGUGAGAAGAAAAUGACUAUCACAGGAGGAAGCCCUGGCUAAAUAUGUGCCAGCAGCCGCGGUAAUACAUAUGGGGCGAGCGUUAUCCGGAUUUAUUGGGUGUAAAGGGUUCGUAGGCGGGAAAGUAAGUCAGUAUGUGAAAUCCCUCGACUCAACCGAGGAACUGCAAUUGAAACUAUUUUUCUUGAGUACUGGAGGGGAGAGUGGAAUUCUUAGUGUAGCGGUGAAAUGCGUAGAUAUUAGGAAGAACACCAGUGGCGAAGGCGACUUUCUGGACAGUAACUGACGCUGAGGAACGAAAGUGUGGGGAGCAAACAGGAUUAGAUACCCUGGUAGUCCACACUGUAAACGAUGGAUACUAGGGGUUGGCAUAGGAAAUGUCGGUCCCGCAGUUAACGCAUUAAGUAUCCCACCUGGGGAGUACGACCGCAAGGUUAAAACUCAAAGGAAUUGACGGGGGCCCGCACAAGCAGUGGGGUAUGUGGUUUAAUUCGACGCAACGCGAAGAACCUUACCAGGGCUUGACAUGAUUAGGAAUAUAUAAGAGAUUAUAUAGCUCUACGGAGUCUAAUUACAGGUGGUGCAUGGUUGUCGUCAGCUCGUGUCGUGAGAUGUUGGGUUAAGUCCCUAAACGAGCGCAACCCUUAUCGCUAGUUGCUAACAUUAAGUUGAGGACUCUAGUGAGACUGCCGUUUAUUAAAACGGAGGAAGGAGAGGAUGACGUCAAAUCAUCAUGCCCUUUAUGUCCUGGGCUACACACGUACUACAAUGGGUAGGACAAAGGGAAGCAACGGAGUGAUCCUGAGCAAAACCCAAAACCUAUUCACAGUUCGGAUUGAAGGCUGAAAUUCGCCUUCAUGAAGCCGGAAUUGCUAGUAAUGGCAGGUCAGCAUACUGCCGUGAAUACGUUCCCGGGCCU